RNAcentral lists this ribosomal RNA (497 nucleotides) under uncultured bacterium. Its description in RNAcentral is "partial 16S ribosomal RNA". It matches the Rfam family "Bacterial small subunit ribosomal RNA", at positions 28 to 507 of the family's 1533-position model. The record is from RNAcentral.
GAUGAACGCUGGCGGCGUGCCUAAUACAUGCAAGUCGAGCGAACAGACGAGGAGCUUGCUCCUCUGACGUUAGCGGCGGACGGGUGAGUAACACGUGGAUAACCUACCUAUAAGACUGGGAUAACUUCGGGAAACCGGAGCUAAUACCGGAUAAUAUAUUGAACCGCAUGGUUCAAUAGUGAAAGACGGUUUUGCUGUCACUUAUAGAUGGAUCCGCGCCGCAUUAGCUAGUUGGUAAGGUAACGGCUUACCAAGGCGACGAUGCGUAGCCGACCUGAGAGGGUGAUCGGCCACACUGGAACUGAGACACGGUCCAGACUCCUACGGGAGGCAGCAGUAGGGAAUCUUCCGCAAUGGGCGAAAGCCUGACGGAGCAACGCCGCGUAAGUGAUGAAGGUCUUCGGAUCGUAAAACUCUGUUAUUAGGGAAGAACAAAUGUGUAAGUAACUAUGCACGUCUUGACGGUACCUAAUCAGAAAGCCACGGCUAACUACGUG